RNAcentral lists this ribosomal RNA (1030 nucleotides) under Nectria pseudotrichia. RNAcentral describes it as "SSU rRNA". It matches the Rfam family "Eukaryotic small subunit ribosomal RNA", at positions 67 to 1109 of the family's 1831-position model. The record is from RNAcentral. Lineage: Eukaryota; Fungi; Ascomycota; Sordariomycetes; Hypocreales; Nectriaceae.
UAGCAUUAUACAGCGAAACUGCGAAUGGCUCAUUAUAUAAGUUAUCGUUUAUUUGAUAGUACCUUACUACUUGGAUAACCGUGGUAAUUCUAGAGCUAAUACAUGCUAAAAAUCCCGACUUCGGAAGGGAUGUAUUUAUUAGAUUAAAAACCAAUGCCCUUCGGGGCUCCUUGGUGAUUCAUGAUAACUUCUCGAAUCGCAUGGCCUUGCGCCGGCGAUGGUUCAUUCAAAUUUCUUCCCUAUCAACUUUCGAUGUUUGGGUAUUGGCCAAACAUGGUUGCAACGGGUAACGGAGGGUUAGGGCUCGACCCCGGAGAAGGAGCCUGAGAAACGGCUACUACAUCCAAGGAAGGCAGCAGGCGCGCAAAUUACCCAAUCCCGACUCGGGGAGGUAGUGACAAUAAAUACUGAUACAGGGCUCUUUUGGGUCUUGUAAUUGGAAUGAGUACAAUUUAAAUCCCUUAACGAGGAACAAUUGGAGGGCAAGUCUGGUGCCAGCAGCCGCGGUAAUUCCAGCUCCAAUAGCGUAUAUUAAAGUUGUUGUGGUUAAAAAGCUCGUAGUUGAACCUUGGGCCUGGCUGGCCGGUCCGCCUCACCGCGUGUACUGGUCCGGCCGGGCCUUUCCCUCUGUGGAACCCCAUGCCCUUCACUGGGUGUGGCGGGGAAACAGGACUUUUACUUUGAAAAAAUUAGAGUGCUCCAGGCAGGCCUAUGCUCGAAUACAUUAGCAUGGAAUAAUAGAAUAGGACGUGUGGUUCUAUUUUGUUGGUUUCUAGGACCGCCGUAAUGAUUAAUAGGGACAGUCGGGGGCAUCAGUAUUCCGUUGUCAGAGGUGAAAUUCUUGGAUUUACGGAAGACUAACUACUGCGAAAGCAUUUGCCAAGGAUGUUUUCAUUAAUCAGGAACGAAAGUUAGGGGAUCGAAGACGAUCAGAUACCGUCGUAGUCUUAACCAUAAACUAUGCCGACUAGGGAUCGGACGAUGUUAUAUUUUGACUCGUUCGGCACCUUACGAGAAAUCAAAGUGCUGG